This 504-nucleotide ribosomal RNA is filed under the name uncultured bacterium. Its description in RNAcentral is "bacterial SSU rRNA". It matches the Rfam family "Bacterial small subunit ribosomal RNA", at positions 28 to 520 of the family's 1533-position model. The record is from RNAcentral.
GACGAACGCUGGCGGUGUGCUUAACACAUGCAAGUGGUGCGACGAACCAGAGCUUGCUCUGGGGCAAAGCCGCGAACGGGUGAGUAACACGUGGGUAAUCUACCCCGAUGACCGGGACAACCCGAGGAAACUCGGGCUAAUACCGGAUGUGGUACGGAGACAUAAGUCUCUUUACUAAAGGUAGCUUCGGCUUCCGCAUUGGGAGGGGCCCGCGGCCCAUUAGCUAGUUGGUGGGGUCAAGGCCUACCAAGGCAACGAUGGGUAGCUGGUCUGAGAGGACGAUCAGCCACACUGGGACUGAGACACGGCCCAGACUCCUACGGAGGCAGCAGUGGGGAAUCUUGCGCAAUGCGCGAAAGCGUGACGCAGCAACACCGCGUGAGGGAAGACGGCCUUAGGGUUGUAAACCUCUUUCAGAUGGGACGAAGGUGAUGCGGUGAAUAGCCGAUGUCAUUGACGGUACCGUCAGAAGAAGCUCGGCUAACUACGUGCCAGCAGCCGCGG